CGUGAGAUGUUGGGUUAAGUCCGUACGAGCGCAACCCUUGUCCUUAGUUACCAGCACGUUAUGUGGGCACUCUAAGGAGACUGCCGGUGACAAACCGGAGGAAGGUGGGGAUGACGUCAAGUCAUCAUGGCCCUUACGGCCUGGGCUACACACGUGCUACAAUGGUCGGUACAAAGGGUUGCCAAGCCGCGAGGUGGAGCUAAUCCCAUAAAACCGAUCGUAGUCCGGAUCGCAGUCUGCAACUCGACUGCGUGAAGUCGGAAUCGCUAGUAAUCGUGAAUCAGAAUGUCACGGUGAAUACGUUCCCGGGCCUU
RNAcentral lists this ribosomal RNA (314 nucleotides) under uncultured Pseudomonas sp. RNAcentral describes it as "bacterial SSU rRNA". It matches the Rfam family "Bacterial small subunit ribosomal RNA", at positions 1066 to 1382 of the family's 1533-position model. Lineage: Bacteria; Pseudomonadati; Pseudomonadota; Gammaproteobacteria; Pseudomonadales; Pseudomonadaceae. The record is from RNAcentral.